CCUACGGGAGGCAGCAGUGGGGAAUAUUGCACAAUGGGGGAAACCCUGAUGCAGCCAUGCCGCGUGUGUGAAGAAGCCUUCGGGCUGUAAAGCACUUUCAGCGAGGAGGAAAGGUCAGUAGCUAAUAUCUGCUGACUGUGACGUUACUCGCAGAAGAACACCGGCUAACUCCGUGCCAGCAGCCGCGGUAAU
This 192-nucleotide ribosomal RNA is filed under the name gamma proteobacterium T21. Its description in RNAcentral is "partial 16S ribosomal RNA". It matches the Rfam family "Bacterial small subunit ribosomal RNA", at positions 338 to 524 of the family's 1533-position model. Lineage: Bacteria; Pseudomonadati; Pseudomonadota; Gammaproteobacteria. The record is from RNAcentral.